UUAAAUUGAAGAGUUUGAUCAUGGCUCAGAUUGAACGCUGGCGGCAGGCCUAACACAUGCAAGUCGAACGGUAACAGGAAGCAGCUUGCUGUUUUGCUGACGAGUGGCGGAC
This 112-nucleotide ribosomal RNA is filed under the name Escherichia coli. RNAcentral describes it as "partial 16S ribosomal RNA". It matches the Rfam family "Bacterial small subunit ribosomal RNA", at positions 1 to 103 of the family's 1533-position model. The record is from RNAcentral. RNAcentral also lists the same sequence under 1 other name. Lineage: Bacteria; Pseudomonadati; Pseudomonadota; Gammaproteobacteria; Enterobacterales; Enterobacteriaceae.